RNAcentral lists this long non-coding RNA (860 nucleotides) under Volvox carteri. RNAcentral describes it as "long non-coding RNA (VCAR_LNC004235)". Lineage: Eukaryota; Viridiplantae; Chlorophyta; Chlorophyceae; Chlamydomonadales; Volvocaceae. The record is from RNAcentral.
ACGAGAUUAGCUACACUGUAGUAUGUAACUAAAACUUUUAAUUAGCUUAGGGCCGAAAGCUCUAGGCAUAACUACAAAAUAUAGCGAGGUCAAGUUCAAGGAGUUGCCACGUGUGCGUACCAUUCAGCCUAAGCUGGAUGAUGCUACAAGGUAGCCCUGGGAAAAGCUUUCGUUUACUCACAACAUAAAUUUUGUAAUUUAUGUAGUACCAAGCCUAGUCAUAAACUACGUCCAUGUAUGUGUUUUGUAGCUGGUUUCCCUAAGGGAAACCUUACUUGAGCAUUGCGCUUGUUUCCUUUCGGGAAACGUUGGUUGUAGUUUGCUAACUAGGUACUUGGUACCUUAUGUAGAAUAUGUAUGUAGAAUAUGUAUGUAGAAUAUGUAUGUAGAAUAUGUAUGUAGAAUAUGUAUGUAGAAUAUGUAUGUAGAAUAUGUAGAACCUUUGCCCUUUAUGCUAACGUAUGUGCUGGUUAUAAGCCUAGUUGUAUUUUAGGGGCUUCGUCUUCCCCUUUAGGGGACCCUAACGGAGGCUGUCUUUCAAACCAUGCGCGAAGCCCCGUGAACGUACGCGUGGUUGCAAAAAGAGCUAACCGGUCGAAGCUCCCAACGUCAUCAUCAAACUACGUAUUGUGAUUUAAUGUAGUAAAACUAGUAGCUCAUAACGUUUAGUUAAACUCCUCUGUAGUUAACAUUAAACUACCUACAGGUCUUCGGCCCUCUCGUUGUGAGACAGUCCGUUGGAUUAUGGUGACGGGUGCUCUUGUAUGUAGUUUAAUUUUGUUAAACUAUAUUANAUAACAACUAUACUUCGGCCGAAGUCUUACUUAUUAGGGAGAGGGAGCAAUGCCAUCCCCUUCNNN